Molecule: ribosomal RNA, 494 nt
Filed under: uncultured bacterium
Lineage: Bacteria
Description: partial 16S ribosomal RNA
Rfam family: Bacterial small subunit ribosomal RNA
Source: RNAcentral
GAUGAACGCUGGCGGCGUGCCUAACACAUGCAAGUCGAACGGAGUUGUUAUUGGGAAGUUUUCGGAUGGAAUAAUAAUAACUUAGUGGCGGACGGGUGAGUAACGCGUGGGUAACCUGCCUCAUACAGGGGGAUAACAGUUGGAAACGGCUGCUAAAACCGCAUGACAUUGCGAUGUCGCAUGACAAUGCAAUGAAAUAUUUAUAGGUAUGAGAUGGGCCCGCGUCUGAUUAGCUAGUUGGUGAGGUAAUGGCCCACCAAGGCGACGAUCAGUAGCCGGCUUGAGAGAGUGACCGGCCACAUUGGGACUGAGACACGGCCCAAACUCCUACGGGAGGCAGCAGUGGGGAAUAUUGCACAAUGGGGGAAACCCUGAUGCAGCGACGCCGCGUGAGUGAAGAAGUAUUUCGGUAUGUAAAGCUCUAUCAGCAGGGAAGAAAAUGACGGUACCUGACUAAGAAGCCCCGGCUAACUACGUGCCAGCCGCCGCGGUAA